This 438-nucleotide long non-coding RNA is filed under the name Nicotiana benthamiana. RNAcentral describes it as "long non-coding RNA (NBEN_LNC036069)". Lineage: Eukaryota; Viridiplantae; Streptophyta; Magnoliopsida; Solanales; Solanaceae. The record is from RNAcentral.
CGCGAUUAAGUAAGCGAUAAAGUCACACAAACAAGUAAUGGUAAAAGCCUAUAAGCAUCCUCAGCAGAGUCAUCAUCCUGUUGACGCCCCCUUUGUCUCGAGGAAAAGACAUACGGUUUGCAACAUUAUGGGUGGAAUGACUCCUUUAUCCCCUUUUCGGAGAAUUUGGACUAUGGAGUUUGGAAAGUCGCCACCUAAUGAUUAUAGUGCAUGAGGACACUUUUAGAGAAAAGAAGAAGGAUUUGAUGGAAAACUAGAGUUUGGGUAAGGGCUUGAGAUUUUCUCGAGGGGAAGGUGUUAGGAACCCCUCAAGAUCCACUAGUGUGGUUCCCGGCUUUGCUUAGUUGUGACUUUAAGAAGAGUAGGAGUAAACAAGCAAAGUUUGCACAUAAGAAAUACAAGCAAGUUGACAAUUGAAAGAAUAAAGGCACAAGUAAG